Molecule: small RNA, 20 nt
Filed under: Arabidopsis thaliana (thale cress)
Lineage: Eukaryota; Viridiplantae; Streptophyta; Magnoliopsida; Brassicales; Brassicaceae
Description: Ath_wt_10956
Source: RNAcentral
CAAAGCAUUGCGAUGGUCCC